This 398-nucleotide ribosomal RNA is filed under the name uncultured bacterium. RNAcentral describes it as "bacterial SSU rRNA". It matches the Rfam family "Bacterial small subunit ribosomal RNA", at positions 358 to 773 of the family's 1533-position model. The record is from RNAcentral.
GGAAUAUUGCACAAUGGGGGAAACCCUGAUGCAGCAACGCCGCGUGAGUGAAGAAGUAUUUCGGUAUGUAAAGCUCUAUCAGCAGGGAAGAAAAUGACGGUACCUGACUAAGAAGCCCCGGACAACUACGUGCCAGCAGCCGCGGUAAUACGUAGGGGGAAGGCGUUGUCCGGAUUUACUGGGUGUAAAGGGAGCGUAGACGGUGCAGCAAGUCUGAUGUGAAAGGUCGGGGCCCAACCCCGGGACUGCAUUGGAAACUGUUGAACUGGAGUACAGGAGAGGUAAGCGGAAUUCCUAGUGUAGCGGUGAAAUGCGUAGAUAUUAGGAGGAACACCAGUGGCGAAGGCGGCUUACUGGACUGUAACUGACGUUGAGGCUCGAAAGCGUGGGGAGCAAAC